GAAGAGAGAGUUCAAGAGUACGUGAAACUGCUCAGAGGUAAACGGGUGGGCCCUCGAAAUCCUGUGGCGGGAAGAUUCAGUCGGGAGGCUCGGACGUGGCGCUGGAAUAUCACAAGAAGGUUCCCGGAGAGGGGCCGUUCCGGUGCCGCGCUUCUGGGACACCCGACGCAUUUGUUUCCCGCCCGAAGGACGCCGCAACCGGUUGGGACGCGGCCUUAAGGUGGGAGAUGGCAGGUGGCCGGUGGCUCUCCUCGUGGGGGUCGCCGGUUGUUAGCCGUCCCGUCGCACGGCACGCGACCCGACCGUGGUAUCACGAGGCCCUUGUGGGCUUCUCCGCCUCCUCCUUAACGGACGGCGGGUAGAAACGUGGCAGGAGCACGACCCUCUGCGGGCGCACGGACUGACUCCGUGGCCCAGCGUUGGGUUGUCUUCGUUGGCCGCGCAGUGCCCGUUGGAGUGUCGGCGGUUGGCGGCGAGUAGAUCGGUCACCCACCCGACCCGUCUUGAAACACGGACCAAGGAGUCUAACAUGUGUGCGAGUCAAUGGGUCUCGAAUAAGCCCAGAGGCGCAAUGAAAGCAAAGGCCGGAAUCACUCCGGCUGUGUUGGGAUCCCUGCCCCUUCGCGGGUGGGGCGCACCAACGACCCGUCCUGUUCCACUUGUGGAUUGGGCGGAGUCUGAGCAUACACGUUGGGACCCGAAAGAUGGUGAACUAUGCCCGGACAGGACGAGGCCAGAGGAAACUCUGGUGGAGGU
This 756-nucleotide ribosomal RNA is filed under the name Weintrauboa chikunii. Its description in RNAcentral is "eukaryotic LSU rRNA". It matches the Rfam family "Eukaryotic large subunit ribosomal RNA", at positions 378 to 874 of the family's 3401-position model. The record is from RNAcentral. Lineage: Eukaryota; Metazoa; Arthropoda; Arachnida; Araneae; Pimoidae.